Molecule: long non-coding RNA, 1992 nt
Filed under: Sus scrofa (pig)
Lineage: Eukaryota; Metazoa; Chordata; Mammalia; Artiodactyla; Suidae
Description: lncRNA (ENSSSCG00005005891.1)
Source: RNAcentral
GAAUUGGACCUGCAGCUGAGGCUGACACCACAGCCACAGCAACAAUGGAUCUGAGCCUCAUCUGCAACCUAUGCCACAGCUGUCAGCAAUGCCAGAUCCUUAACCCACUGCACAGUCCAGGGAUUGAACCCGCAUCCUCACAGUCAGGGUCUUAACCCACUGAGCCACACGGGAACUCCUUGCCUUUCUAUUUAGUGGAAACUGAAAAUUCCAUUUCAAACUUACCGUGACCCACAAAGCCCUGUAUCAUUUGGCCUUUGGCUUCUCCUCCUCCAUUGGCUCACUCUGAACCAGCCACAUCGUCCUCCUGGCUGAUGUUCAUACAAGUCCUGUCUUAAAGCUCUUAUAUUUGUGACUUUUGUACUUGCCUGGAGCCCACCACAAAGUUUGUAUCUUUCAAACCAUGACAGUACUUUUUUAUGCAAACAACUUGGUCCUCUGAUUAUCAAAGACUGACAUUUACCUACACUCCUUCAGGCUCAUCACUUUUUAUGUUGUAUUUCAAAAUUUCCUAUCUCCCCUUGGAAGAUAUAUGCUUUCUCUUUACUGCCUCCUUCUUGGUAUCGAAGAGAUCGUCCCUAAGUAUUUGCUUCAUGCCUUUUUUUUAUUUUUAUUUUUUUGUCUUUUGUCUAUGGGCCAGGCCACACCUGCAGCAUAUGGAGGUUCCCAGGCUAGGGGUUGAAUCAGACCUGCAGCUGCCAGCCUACACCACAACCACAGCAACGCAAUCUGAGCAGCGUCUGCCACCUACACCACAGCUCAUGGCAAUGCUGUAUCCUUAACCCACUGAGCAAGGCCAGGGAUUGAACCUGCGUCUUAAUGGAUACUAUCAGGUUUGUAAACCACUGAGCCAUGAGAGGAACGUCUUCAUGCCCCUAGAGGUAUUUAGUUUAAAACAAUUGUAGCCUUAAUUUGUGAAUAUAUACAAGACAUGCAAUUUACCUCAGAGAUAAGCAAUAAGGCAAGGAUAUGAGAAACUUUUUUUUUUAAGAAAAGAAAGUAAAACCAAUUAAGAAUGGCUAAUGAUUCACAUAAAAGUAAUUUUUUAAAACUCUCUGGAACAGGAAGGAUAGGGUGUUCUGCUAUGACAUUUCACUCAGAUGGUGGUUUGGUUUGGAUGUAUGUUUCAAAAUUGCUAGUACCUGAGUAGUUUUCUUUGAAAAAACCAGGAUAAAAAUACAAUCAAGUUAACUCAACUAACAUUUUUAAAAUUUUUAUGUAUUUUUUAGGGCUGUACCUGUGGUGAAUGGAAAUUCCCAGGCCAGCAGUCAAAUCCCAGCUGCUGGUCUACGUCACAGCUCUAGCAAAGCAGGAUCCGAGCUAUUAUCUGUGACCUACACCACAGCUCAGGGCAAGGCCAGAUUCUUAACCCACUGAGCGAGGCCAGGGAUAAAACCCAUGUCCUCAUGGAUCCUCUUCAGGUUCGUUACCGCUGACCCACAAUGGGAACCCCUAAUUCAACUAGCAUUUAUUAAAAGCUUAUGUGAUAGUUACUGUGUGUCAUGUGCUGGGUACACAAACACAACUGAGACACUGUCCCAAUGUUAAAGAUUUCAGGAUAGAAGACUGGUAGGGGGUAACAAGGGAAGGACAAAGAUAAUCACCUUAUAAUUACACUUAAACUGGAUCUUUCAGGUAGAAAAGCAGAUAAUGAACAUUCUAGGAAUAGGGAAGAACACUAGCAAACUACAGGUAGUCUUGUUUUGCUGUGACAUAUGGAACAUGUGUAGAGGCUGAAGAGCAGUCUGCAAACAUCAGGACCAGGCGGUUAAGUCACAAUGGCAAAGGGACUGGAAAGGGGAGAAAUUUCAGAGACGUUUUUAAGAUGAGCUCAACAGGACUUAAUGAUGAAAAAUGUCAGAGAGGACUAGUAAAUAGUGUUAAGAUUCUUCAUCUGGAUAACUAGGUUGAAUAGGAAUGCCAUUAACUGCACAGAAAAGAGUAUUAGGCUUUUUUGGGAGGUGAGAGUGGACAUUAAAAAAAAAAAAAAAA